This 1466-nucleotide ribosomal RNA is filed under the name metagenome. RNAcentral describes it as "bacterial SSU rRNA". It matches the Rfam family "Bacterial small subunit ribosomal RNA". The record is from RNAcentral.
GGCUCAGGAUGAACGCUGGCGGCGUGCCUAACACAUGCAAGUCGAACGGACACCAUGGUGUAGCAAUACUCCAGAAGUGUUAGUGGCGAACGGGUGAGUAACACGUGAAGAACCCACCCCGGACUUCGGAAUAACCUCGGGAAACCAGGGCUAAUACCGGAUACCUUCCUCUGGCGACAUCGCCGGGGGAAGAAAGAUUUACGGUCCGGGUCGGCUUCGCGGCCUAUCAGUUUGUUGGCGGGGUAACGGCCCACCAAGACUUCGACGGGUAGCUGGUCUGAGAGGAUGAUCAGCCACACUGGGACUGAGACACGGCCCAGACUCCUACGGGAGGCAGCAGUGGGAAUCUUGCUCAAUGGGCGCAAGCCUGAAGCAGCAACGCCGCGUGCGGGAUGAAGGCCCUCGGGUUGUAAACCGCUUUCAGUAGGAACGAAAAUGACGGUACCUACAGAAGAAGGUCCGGCUAACUACGUGCCAGCAGCCGCGGUAACACGUAGGGACCGAGCGUUGUCCGGAUUUAUUGGGCGUAAAGAGCUCGUAGGCUGUUCAGUAAGUCAGGUGUGAAAACUCUGGGCUUAACCCAGAGCCUGCAUUUGAUACUGCUGUGACUAGAGUUCGGUAGGGGAGCGGGGAAUUCCUAGUGUAGCGGUGAAAUGCGCAGAUAUUAGGAGGAACACCGGUGGCGAAGGCGCCGCUCUGGGCCGAAACUGACGCUGAGGAGCGAAAGCGUGGGUAGCAAACAGGAUUAGAUACCCUGGUAGUCCACGCCGUAAACGGUGGGCACUAGGUGUGGGCUCUAACCAACGGAGUCCGUGCCGUAGCUAACGCAUUAAGUGCCCCGCCUGGGGAGUACGGCCGCAAGGCUAAAACUCAAAGGAAUUGACGGGGGCCCGCACAAGCAGCGGAGCAUGUUGCUUAAUUCGAGGCAACGCGAAGAACCUUACCUGGGCUUGACAUGGUCGGAAAAGCCGUAGAGAUACGGUGUCCUUCGGGGCCGAUCACAGGUGGUGCAUGGCUUUCGUCAGCUCGUGUCGUGAGAUGUUGGGUUAAGUCCCGCAACGAGCGUAACCCUUGUCCUAUGUUGCCAGCGGGUCAUGCCGGGGACUCAUAGGAGACUGCCGGGGUCAACUCGGAGGAAGGUGGGGAUGACGUCAAGUCAUCAUGCCCCUUAUGUCCAGGGCUGCAAACAUGCUACAAUGGCCGGUACAAAGAGCUGCGAUCCCGCGAGGGUGAGCGAAUCUCAUAAAGCCGGUCUCAGUUCGGAUCGAAGUCUGCAACUCGACUUCGUGAAGCUGGAGUUGCUAGUAAUCCCAGAUCAGCAUUGCUGGGGUGAAUACGUUCCCGGGCCUUGUACACACCGCCCGUCACACCACGAAAGUCGGUAACACCCGAAGCCAGUGGCCCAACCGCAAGGAGGGAGCUGUCGAAGGUGGGAUCGGUGAUUGGGGUGAAGUCGUAACAAGGUA